UGGUGGGACCGCCGCUGCUAAAGCGGAGGAAGGAAUGGGCAACGGUAGGUCAGUAUGCCCCGAACAUCCCGGGCUACACGCGAGCUACAAUGGUUGGUACAAUGGGUAUCUACCCCGAAAGGGGAUGGAAAUCUCCUAAAGCCAAUCUUAGUCCGGAUUGAGGGCUGCAACUCGCCCUCAUGAAGCUGGAAUCCGUAGUAAUCGCGUUUCAACAGAACGCGGUGAAUACGUCCCUGCUCCUU
This 242-nucleotide ribosomal RNA is filed under the name uncultured Methanosaeta sp. Its description in RNAcentral is "partial 16S ribosomal RNA". It matches the Rfam family "Archaeal small subunit ribosomal RNA", at positions 1097 to 1338 of the family's 1478-position model. Lineage: Archaea; Methanobacteriati; Methanobacteriota; Methanomicrobia; Methanotrichales; Methanotrichaceae. The record is from RNAcentral.